Callithrix jacchus (white-tufted-ear marmoset) is the source of this 29407-nucleotide non-coding RNA. Lineage: Eukaryota; Metazoa; Chordata; Mammalia; Primates; Cebidae. The record is from RefSeq and is a predicted model, not a curated record.
UAAGGUCCAAAAAUACUCUUUUUCAACCCAUGAACAGUAAGAAUUUGUGAAUUCUGAUAAUGAAAAGAGAAAAGUUUUCCUCCAGGUAUGUUGGUUUCACAUUCAGUCCUGAAGCCUUGAGCUACGUGUACUUCCCUCACACAAACACACCAGCAGUCUAUGCUCUGCCCGUGCCCAAAACUCAAUGGUUUCUCUCAGCACAGAAGUCAAAAAUGAGAUAUGCCCCUAAUAAAACCCCUUCAAUUCCUGAAAAAGCAUAAUAAAGGCUUAUGUCGCUUCCUUGUUGGAGCUCCUUCAUAAUGCUCCCAACACCUGUGACCCCUGGGAAAACAGGGCACAAGGUAGAUCUGCCCAGGAGUCACAGGAUAAACACCCAUUCUGGAGCCUUCCUCUGUUGUUCUAGAAGAUGUGAUUUGAUUAGUUGGGGCUGGGAGCAGGGGAUAUAUGAUUCUGCGGAAAAAGUAUCAGAUUAUCAAAUCAGGUUUGCCUCUGCUAUAGCCAGUGUGCUGCUGCAUCAAAAGGUAACAAAGGGAAGGUGCAACGUAAGAGCACACACAACCUGAGAUGCCCUUGAGAUCUAGGACAGGAUGGUGCCCUUUCUGUUGUGACCUGACUCUUAAAAGAAAUCUUCUAAAAGAAUUCUUUAAUUUGGUAAUGAGUCGAAGUCCAGGGUAAUGGAAGCUCUAGGGCAGAGAACAAAAGAAUUGCAGAAAUAUAUUCAGCACCAAACAAUGCUAAACCAAGAAACAUCCAAUUACAAAACUAGGAAGUUUGGCAAGAAGUAGUUAGAGAAAUCUCUGAGCUUUUCCAUGGGUAGGUUCGACAGACUCUCUUUUGAGUGAUUUCUGGCUCCGAGAAACCUCUUUACUCACUAGAAAAGAACUUUAUUUAAAUGGCCAUUUUUUUUCCUCAGAAAAAGAAAUUAAGAAAAAUAGGACACUGAAGACAGAACCAUGUGACUUGGUGACAAACAAAAGGAAGGGUGCACUAGAAUUUCAAUAGGCUCCCUAAUUCCAUAGCAAAAGCAAAGCAACCCAAUGCCUCCUGAGCCUGCAGUACAUGAAGAGAGUACUUGAGCUGACCUAGCCACCAGGCUUUCUGGGGCUAGACAUAACUUCCCACUGGAACAGCAGCAGCCUCUUUCCCCUCUUUGUGUUUUCAUGAAGAAAACGGUUGUUCUCUUAGGUACCCAAGAAAUAGAUUACAUGGGGCAAACUUUCAAAAGCAGUCUCUACCCUGGUGCUCGGGCUGCGUAUAGAGGCAGAAAAGGGGCGUAGAAGAGCUCUUGCUCUUGAGAGAGAAUAUUUUCAUAUUCCCAAGGGCUUUCUGUGGAGAGUUGCUAUUUCUGAUGCCACUUAAACCUUUACAAGAGAAAAGGCUGUGGUGACUCAGUGUUCCUGUAAACUCAGAAUGUGAAAAUUACUAAUCCAAAGCAUCAUUUCUAGCACUGAGUAUCAAGAUGAUCAGCCUGACCAAAAUAUUUCAAAGACUCUUCUAAGUCUCUGAAGAUGUUUUUUCUCCUUCAACACUGAGUAUAGCAGUCAGCAGUGUACAUUAGCAGAUCCCUGGGAAUGAUUAUGGAAUGGUAGGGCUUGUUUUCAUGCUUUUUAGAGUGAAGAGGUAAAAAAUGAGGGCUGCAUAUUGUGGGUUCUUUUUCAGAACUAUGUAUUUUCUCCUCACUGAAUGAGGGGUAAAAAUGGCCUGGGUUGAAACAGGAACCAUCAUCUUUCCACAGCACUGACUAAAACACCUGCCAUUCCAGUGGUUUCUUGAGGCCCCACUUGUUGCUCCAUAAACUGUAGACUUUCAUACUAAAAUCUAAUCUUAAGUGACCUCAAUUAAGGUGUUUUCGCAAGAGGCUACUUACUGUAUAGCAUUAUUGCCUUAAAUCAGAAAGCCCUGGGAAGAGGACAAAUGAUAUAGAAAUGAGAAGGCUCUGAAGAUACAGGCAUUUCUUGCUGUUUAAUAGUUAUAUUAUCACAAAAGUAAGCUCUAUUUGUGAUUGAGGACUAUGGAAAUAGUGACUUCUUGGGGAGGCACCAAACUUGUCUAGAACUGGUACUCUCAGAUAGUGGCUGCUAUUUCCUAUUCUAUUUCAGUGAUGUAGGUUGGGCUGAAUGUAAAAUAGACAUCAUAUUACUAAAUAGAAUCCUAUAAAAUGUAAUCACAGGUGCCUGGGAAUACUAGUUUUAAACCUUUCCUUAACAAGGAGAACAAUCCCAGCAAAAAGCUUUCUUUCCCUAUACAGUGUAUAUCUGUAAACUUUUUUUUCCCUCAGUUGUAGAGAGCAUCUCUUUUAUCUGGUGGUUCAUUGUUUAAAUGCAAACUUGUAAGUUUCAAGUCUUCAAUGAAAGAUUAUAAUCUGCAGAUGAUAAUCUAGAGAGAAAAAUCUAGCCACAGUCUUGAGAGUCCAGGCUUCUGGAAUGCCUAAUGAGGGUAUAAAAGUCCCUACUAACCCUUUUUCAAAUUCAGAGGUUUCUUUGGUUCAAAAUGCCUCAAUGAGAUUUUGAUACAUCCAAGAGAGAGAAAGAGAAAAAAACAACAACCUUGGGGGCAUCUGCUUCUACUAGUGUUGCAACAGUUGUUAUUACGCAGCAAAAUCAUUGCAAUUUAUAUGUAGAUUUUAGUAGUGAAAGAGUCCUAACCCACCCAGUAUGUCACCGCUGCUGUCCAAAAUGUCUGUAACUGAGUGUACGUUAUUUAUACGUGCGCACACACAGUGUGAGCUGCUCUCAGCACAAAACUGUUCCACAUUCAUGUUGCCCAGUGACAACAAGAUAGAUUUUUGAAUUUCUGGUUAGGAGUCAAAGGUCUGACAUGUCUCACAUGUCUGCUUCUGCUUUGUUGCCUUAGUUGGGUGCAUGACUAUCUGUGAUGAGAAAUUUAGGGCAAUCUGAAGGAGUCCAACCAUCGGUAAUUUCUAUGUAUCCCUUUCAUGAGAAACUUGAAUAUGUUCACAUGGAGUAGAGUGCAUUUAACAAACUCUGUAGUUCUGCUGGACUUAAUGAUAGGUAUGUGCAUGUGUGUGUUUGCAUGUAUACUUAUUGUCAUCUGGGAGUGUGUGUGCCUCCCAAAUGAAGCACACACAGGCAGAGGUCCUCAUGCAUAGAUACAGUUGCCUCUUUCCACCAUUGUGCUAAAGACUCGUGUGGCUCCCUUCCCAGGAAGCAGUCACCUGCCCACUCUGUUGCUUUUUGUAAUGUUUGAGAAUUGGGAGAAACAAACGCAGCUUGUUGAAUCCACAGCAAACCCACAGGGACAGCCUGUUUUCCUCCAUAAGAAGGUAGAACAGAAGUCUUCGACUGGUGAGCAGACAAGAGGGAGCAGCAAUCCAGGGCACCUCCCCAAGUCUCCUGGAGGUGGGAGCACCAACGCCAGGCAGACAAAGCCCACACAAACUUUGGCCUGAGCCAUCCCAUAGCUCAAAGGCCUUCAUUCCUUUCCUCUAGACAACCCAGUGUGCACACACAUGUGCACACACACACACACACACGAAUUUUAUUCCCAAACUAAAGCUUCCUAAUUCUGCUUGUACUCAAAGGAUACCAUCAUAAUUCACAAACUGUGUCUCCUGAAACCAAUGUGGCCUUUGCCAAAGUCUUUCCAGGAGUGAGUUGUUUACCAUGUCUAGCAAACCAAUAGACCAUUGGGGGGGAAUAUUUUUUAGUAAUCUCUAAGAAUUGAUAGCUCUUGCCCAUCUCAAACAUUAAAGUAGAAUGCCACUCUAGUAUAAUGUACUGAGUGAAUGGACUCUGAAGGCUUGGUGGCCUGGAAUUCAGGAUUCAGUUUUCUCACUCCCAUGCUCUCUUCUUUUACUAAAUGGUUUGUUAUUUUUUAUGAAUUGUAGACUUUACAGAAGUCAGAGGACAUUUUCCUUCCUCUUCUAUUUUGGUGACUUUUCCCCUUCCCCUGUUAAGUAAGGCUACUCACAGUUGCAACUUUUUUGUUGUUAUUACUUUUUUAAAUUGUAUAUUGUCUUUCUAUAUCCAAAAGAAGUCUGUGACUGUAACCAUAGGUAUUUCUUUUUCCUGGAAAAAAACAUAGUCGUUUUGGUUUUUUUUUCUUUUAAUUAACAGUACUAGUGACUUUGUGAAAGAAUAUGAGUUACUAUUUAGGUAUGCUUACUUAAGUACAAUACACUACAUUGCAGUAUUUCUGAAACCUAGGACAUACACAUUAUAUAUAACAAUUUUAUAUUGAAAUAUAUAGCACAUUAUAUUCAUUUUAACUUUUGAAUCUGCCUAUGAUCAUGAGUCGAUUGAAAUGUUAUGUCUUUGCGUAUAUCACCCAUCACCAACCUGCUGCGGUUAACCUGGUGCAUUUAAUAAUCAUCAUUACUGCUCUAAUUUGCUUUUUAUAUUAUCAGCUUCAAUAUUGUCUUUAGAGGAUUUUAGAAUUUUUUAAAGCUCAGACUUAGCAAAUGUAGGAAAGUGAAAACUUUUUUUGAAACUUUUUUGUUGGUUUGACUAAUACAAAGAGGUUCAUAUUCAAAAUGAUCUUGUUUAGCUGACCCACUCAAUAUCUGAAGAACAAAAGAAAUGCAUAUGAAUGUAUCUGUGAUUUUCCCCUGUAGGACUGUCACUGUCUAUAUUUGCUUUUAAAAAUAUGACCAAGGGGCUGCUUAAGUGCGAUAUGAUCUGACCAACAAUAACAGGCUACAUUUAAAAGGGCCAGUCUUCUGAAAAGCGUCAGACAGUGAAUGGCCUAGUUUUCCCCUUAAUACUGGUUCUUCACUACUUCUUUUUUCAAUAUGCUUAUAAUUAUUUUAACUAGUCUUCAAUCUUUCCCUGUGGCACUAUAGUGUUCAUUUUCCUGGGAGCUUUUUUUCUUUUUUUUCUUUCAAACUAAAACCAGAGUUUGAGGAACUCUUUAUCCACAGAGGCUAAUAGAAAUAUAACUCAGAAAUAUCUAUCUGAGACAUUUUUUAGUCUGAAGAAUCUAUAAAAUGGUGGCUUUUGGGUAUCCAGCCCUCAGGAUCUCCAUUUACCUAUUAAAGUGAGGAUUUGGUGCCUUUCUUCUUCAGUUAGGCCACCAAGGAACCUGCAGAAAUCAGGCAUCCUGUCUUCCUAUACAGUAAAUACUUUCAGAUAAUUCCCUCGGCUAUUCAACCCAAUGCAUGGAAAGCCUCAGUUGAAUAAACUUUUCCACCAUCCUGGGUGCCUGAAACUAGUGUCCUUCUUCACUUCUACCUUCAGGACAAAAUGAAGAGAGCUUUUUAAAACCUCAGUAUAAAAGACCUUCUCACACUGGACCAAUAGGAAGGCCUGUCCGUGUGAAUAUUGAGGAAUUCCUUCCUUUCAUGUUUCCUGAUAGAUUUUCGUUCUCUAAUCCCAUCCCAUUUGGCUGUGCCUGUCCAGCAAGUCCCUUUUCACGUUAGCCACGCUCCCUGCAGUGCUCUCCAGCCUGGGAUUCACUAAGGAAUGACCUACUCUUAGUCUACUUUGAAAGGGUGAAUGUCUAGUUUAAUGGCAAAACUACCAAUCUGUUCUCCAAACUGUUCAACCAGAUAUAUUUCUACUAGACAAACAUAAUUGUGAAUUGACUGUUAAGUGAGGCUGCUUCUUCUCUAAGGAUCAAAUAAUAUCCAAAUUAUAUCAACUUUAUUCUUUCCCUCUUUCCUUUUCCUAACCCCUUCCCUUAAUUCUUGUUUCUCUUGAAGACUACUUCAAAAUAUCUGUUCAUCUUCAUCACUGCCCCCAAACCUCUAGUAAUUAUGACCCCUGACUGUUCAUUUCUCUUCCUUUCUCAAGCCUUCUGAACAUCUUUCUUUAAGCUUUAUUUAAUGAAAGAACACUAAAAUGAGUGAGUUCAUAAACUUGAGACUCGUAGGCAGAGUGAAGCAUGUCUUCAUUUUAGCUUCAAAGUUUAAAAGUUAUCAAUAUUCUUUUGAGAGUGGGAGAACCUGAGUCACAGUUUUAAAUGUCAAGUGUACUAGCUGAGGUCAUUAAUUCCUCUUACCUUCACAUUUGGCCAAAGAUGAGAGAAAAAUAUUUUCUGGUUUUUUAAAAUACCCCAGUGUUCAAAAUCUUGAUAUGAGUAAACCACAUCUGCUGGAGAAAAAAAGAAAUCAUUCAUGUUGACUGUUUCCACUAGUCAAAUUACUUGUUUAUCAGACUUUAGAUUACAGGAAUCUACAGAAAAGAGUAACAUUUCAAAAUAAUUUUGAUAACUAUUCAAGCCUUAGUGAGCUCUUCUCAAACAAGAAAAGCCACUUCCACUUGAACACAUUGUAGGAAAAAUUACAAAGAAUUUUUUUAUUUAUUACCCUUUGGAAAAAAUAAGUAAUCAUUGAUUGGCUUAGAACUUUGAGCAGUAAUUUACUAACGUAUGAGAAGAUCCAUAAAGUUUCUAAAGCGUCUGUUUUUGCGACGAGAGGUUGCUUAAACAUAAACUUAAUAUGUGCUUAAAUAAAAUAAUAACAGGGUUAAAUGGAUACUUAAAGAGCCAUGCAGUACACUCCCCAGUACCUAAAUACACACCAUGUAAUUUGGUUUUCAUGCUAGAUCUCACUGCAAUGGAUUACAACUGUCUGAGCAUUGCCCAAAAGACUGACUGAUACCAUUCUGGGUGUAUCUCUUUCAGGAUGCUUAUAAUGUCACCUUCGUAACAACUUUGUAACACAGUCUUUCCUGACUUCUGGUCCAGUGAUCUUGCCACGAUACCACAUCGUCUCUCAGCUUGAAUGAAGACAAGUCCUGUGACAUUUAGAGUACUAUGUGGUUUUGAGUGCAUAGAACUUUCAGUUCUUGCUUUACCCUUUGACAGAAUCGACACUUAAUAUCAGAAAUGUAUUUUUAUUUGACUUGACCCAGCUUUUAUCUUAAUCAAACCACUUUAUAACAUCAACGCACACCAUAGAGAACAAUGAAAUAAAUAGCAGUUUUGAAGGCCUUUAUAAGGCAUACAUCUAGUAGGAAAACAACAUCUCUUAAAAGCAGGAUUUGCAUUGUGUAGAACUGUGAUCUUCACUUGGAAUGUUCUCUCAAUCAGUCCUAUCUUCUCCUUUGUCUAUUUUAACUCCUGGUAUUUUUUUUCGAAAAGUACUCUUUAUCUAAAGUAUUCCUUCUCAUUUCCUUAGGCACUGGCUUUCAAAUGAAGAAAGGCUCUUUUAAACCCUUUUAAAUGCUAUCAUUUAAAGUAUAAUAUGGAGGAGGAGAGGCUCUGGUUCUGACAGAUCUUAUUUGGUCCUCUUAAUCUGAGAUGCCUCUUGACGCUUUUCUUUCUAGUUCCCCAAGAAGCAUUCCAACCCCAAGACCCAGGAUUUCUCACCACAACCUCUGUGUUAGUCUCAGAUUAAUGUCUAAAUCUUGUUUGAUAUUCUAGAGACUCCAGGAUAUGAAUUUAUUGAUGCUUAUGAGUCUCCUAUCUUUCCAAGCUGACACCUGUCAGGAGCACCAAUAGCCCUAACAGUAACUAGUGCAUCAAAAUAAUAGAAUAUUUGUGAGGAUAGGAAGAGAUUUUUUUUCUUCUUUUCUUCAUGAAAAGCUUGCUUUGCUCCCCCCAUCCCCAACAACACACACACCAUGCAUUUCAAAAAGUCUGCAUCACAUUUUACAGAUAUGUAGGUCUAGAAUAUACAAAUAUAGCUUAGGAAAUGUUCUGAGAUUGAGGCUGGUAGCAAACAAGCUUAUUUUCUGCACUGGACUUCAGGACAAGUGUGCAUAGAUACAAUUCCUUCAAAGAAAGUGAAACAUGGUAAAGCAAAGGGAUAAUACUUUCACACAUUCAAACAGUUGUUUGCUAUCUGUAAACCUUGAUUUAAGCAUAAUUAUUAAUUUUUAGAAAUCUGAAACUGGAGGAAUGUGUAUUUUAGUAAAGUUUGUUUGUCGAUUUAUUUGUUUCUCUUUAUCUCUUCUCAAGAUUGUAAAGGGUAUUUAUUUCUUAAUUUGAUACUGUCUAUGGACAGUCAAAUAACUGCUCACCCUUACUAUAUUAUUUUCCCUCUUAGAAAAGCCUUCCAUUCUGCUCUAAAGGAAUUUUUCCUCCACGAAAAUCUUAUCUUCCUUUUCAAAUAGCACUCGUGAGCUUUUAACAGAGAAAUUCUCUCUUUACUUUGAGGAUAGAAUAGUUAAAACAAAAACCUACUCCUUAAGAAAGAAACCCUAUUUACCUAAACCAAUAGGUCUGGGGCCAAAGAAUGGAAAUUGAUUACAGAUGGAGAUCAUGCAUUUUGAACCACAAAUCCUUAUUGCCUCCUCAAAUCCUUUUUGGAAUAAGGCUGGAAAUAAAUUAGUUUAAUUAAAUUCCUCUUUGGAUAUUUCUAAUUAAUAUCUACUGUAAGAUAGCCAGGAAAGAAAAGGAAGGUGCUGCUAACAUGUCAAAAUCAAUCGAUCUGUUGAUUUUUAUCCUUGUAGUUGUUUCUUUUCUAGCCAUUUCAAGACUAUAUGUGUCCAUGAAGUCUUAAAUCGAGAAACAUCUGUUUCCCCAUUGCUUCUCCCUCCUUCCCCACACCCCUGCACCUGCCCCAACCCCAGGCAUUGGAGGCAACAGUAACAGGGAGAUGGGCACUGCAUUGCCAGUACUUCACCCAUCUAUACCCCUACCACAAAGGAGGGAAAAAACAAAUUAGAAACUUAAAAAAAAUAAAUAAAAAGAAAGAAAAUUGUAAUACUUCAUUUGAAAGCAUACUGUUUUCAACUCAACUCAAUUAACAGAUAGCUGGACAACGUUUUUGUAACCCGUCUUUUGUGCUUAAUUGACAUUCUUGGCUCAGUCUUGAAAAUAAUUGCAAUUUCAAUUAAGUGAACAGAGGAAAGGCAAUGAGAGGGAACAGGACAAUGUGAUGGGACCAAAUUUGAUACAGGUCUGGAUUCCUAAAGCCAGUUGUCAAGGUUACCAGAGAACAUUAGCACUACUCACCCCUUGUCCUUCUUACCUGUCUCUGAUUAUUACAGUUCAAAGAAUUAGUGAGAUAACUAUACUUCUUUGUGAUUAAAGAUUUCUCUUAAUGCUGCCAAACCCAUCUAGAGAAACUGUAGAAACUCCUGACUUCUCCUAUACCUAAUGUGCUCUCCAGGCACAAGAGGAGUGUACAGAGAGAUCACUGAAAAUAAAAUGACAGUUCAAAUUUGAGAUAAGAUUUUCCUGCAGUUCAAACUGCUUAUGCAUUGUUCUCAACUAGGGGGAUCUUUGAAAACAAAGGCUAAUUACUCUGCCCUUGCUCUCCUUGAGACCAACUUUAACCUGGAACCAGCUGUAGAUUUGUAAGAGAAAAUUCUCAAAGGUAUUUUCAGCUGCUAAACUUCUUUCUUAGGCCCAUUUAUUUGAACCUUAGUUUUCCUGAGGAGCCUAUUGAGAUAUAAAUUAAGGGUAAUUUGCAUAUAUCUAAUUAAAAUUGUUCCUGCACUAUUAUUGAAAGAAUUACGGUUUUCAGAGGAGAUGAAAGCAGUGUCUUAGUAAUCUUCAUCAUGGCAAACAAAGAUGAGAAGCUGAUAUGAUAGAGAAAAUCUAUGGUAAUGAAAUUUUAAGGUAAUUUGGUUGUGCUGUCCCCACUAUGCUUAAUUCCUUUGUUCCCACAAUUUAUUUUAAACUAUACUUUGGUUCUCUUGAGACUUACUUACAACAUGCAUGUGUGGGCAUGAGCAGACAAGCAGACUUACCUUUGGAGGGUGAAGACCCAGACAAACUGAAGAGACAGAUUCCUGAGGAUGAUCAAAUACAAAUCAUUUUUCCAGAAUCACUCAAUAUUGCCACAUCCCAAACUAAUUCUAGACUAAUCUUAAGAAAGAAGUAAGCUCCUUAAGAGAUCCUACUAUGAAUGUUUUUUCUCCUUCGGAAUAACACAAGAAGAGGUACAAUACAGACUCUUAAUUUUGCUGUAAUAAUUCACUUUUAUAUUUAAUAAUUGUACAUUUUGUGAGUGUGUCACUGAGCUAUUUGUACCAAUUUUCAAUUGAUCAUUCUGAGAGGGGCCUUGAGAAUUUCUGUGUAUGUGUUUGUAUAUCUGUAUCUAUGUGUAGUCAGAAAAAAAAGAGAGAAUAGGAGACUAAUGAUGGGGGAGAAAUGGUCAAUGUAGAAAAAUGAGUGCUCCUAGUGUACCUGUUUAUGUUAUGUAAGGUGGCUGCUGCCUGUAGCCCUUGAGGAAUAGCUGAUUGCACUAUUCAAAAAUAAAAGCCCAGCACUGUUAAAUUUAGGACUGUGUUUUGAGAAACAGGAAAGCUUUAUCUUUUUUUGUACCCAUUCCCCUUAGCAUCAGAGCCAUCUGACAUGAUGAAAACUAUUAAGUAAAAACCACUACUGACCUUUACAUUAAAUAGCUGUUUUCCUCUUCUAAAUAACACCCUUGAUUGUAACUAGACUACUUCCCUUUAUUUCCUGCCUAUUGGCUUAAUGUUUUACAGAAAAAUACAUAGGUGCAUUCUAGUUUCUCUACUUUGUGCUGAAACACACAGGAGCAACAAAAGAGAUGACUCACAGAAGUGUGAGGUAGACUGGAUUUCCCACUUUUGUAGCACUGGUAACCUUUGUAAGAGCUGUUUAGAGUUGAGUUUUGGGUCUAUAAUAGGGCUUUUUUUGCACUAAAUAUGACUGCACUGCAUUGCACUACUGAAAUGUAUUUACUUGUGCUGGGAGAGAGUGGGUUAUGUAUGGGAAAAGAAAAAGGCAAGUUAUGAAAGUAGGAGCAUUACUAAAAUGCAGAGUUAUUUUCAUCAUGCUUGAUCUUAGCAGGGUUAGUGAGACUGUGGAAUCUCUGUCAACUCUUGAUCAGGCCUAGGAACUGCCAUGCUGAUAGGAUCUGUUUUCUUAUUGUAAAGAAACUGAGUUAGUACAGCAAAUUAAGAACAUUUAAGAAAAAGUUUACCCAAUGUUGUUUCCAACUGAGCUCUCAGUAAGAGUUUUAAUAGGGAAGAAGCCGACUAAUAUGAUGUAGAAGCCUUUGCCUUGGCCUACAGCACAAAGCCCCAUGCUGGUGCACAUUUUAGUGUGGCAGAGGGCGGUGGUGUGUGCUCCUUUCAAAAACACACAGCCUUGUCCAUAUUGGAAUUACCCUUUUGGCCUGAGUAUGCUUCUCCAUCCCUGGAUGAAACCUAGAUCAGGCUAACCAAAGAGGAAGGCCAUGCAUGUGGUAAAGUCCUUUAAGAUGACAGAUAGGGAACAGUGCAAUAAACACUGAAAACCAGUGAAGUAAAAGGUUUAUUUUGAAACAAGCUAGGCCAACUUUGACAUUGGAGGAAGGAUUGGAGGAUGGAUUAGAACAUACUAGCUGCUCCAUCAUAGACUAUCCUUACUUAGCAGAAGACCUAAAUAGUGCCUAAAAGUUUAGUUUUGAAAUUGGGUUUUUUUUCCUAACUUUUCUUUGUUAAAUGUAUUUUUAUUGUCUUUUUUAAUCUUAGAAGUAAUCAGAGUUUGACAGCUCUUUGGUAACUGUUAAUAAGAGAAUCUUGCAUCACAGGAUAAGCAAUAGAUUGUAUGGGAAAUAAUAACACAAGAGUAAAGAUGCUGAAGGACACUUCCAGAAUCCAAAGUGACAGUUUUGAAGGUUCUGGCACAGUAGGAAAGGAUCACAGCCCAUAUCAAUAGCUAAUGUUAAAUUUCUCUGAACACUAUUACAUGUGGGGGCAUCAAUUUGGAAAAUUCUCAAUUGAGGCCUCUUUCCUAAGAUUACAACAACAUUGAUAACCUGUCUCUUUCUCUCUCUUCUUUACUAUCUGUCCAAGUCAACUGUUCCAAGUUUAAACAUUGUUCAGAAAAUUGUCAACCUUGUUAGGUAGAAAAACUUCAUUUAGAGCCAUCAAAACUAGCAUUCGAAAUUUCUUAAGCCCUCAAAGCAUUAUCUCUGUUUUAAAUAAGAAACUAAAUUCAGAACUCUUAACAGGUAUUUACUAAUACAUUAUUGGAUAAUCACUAAGAGGACAUUGACUGCACCAAACCAAAGUUCCAGGAAGAAAUUAUUGACUUUUUUUUUUCCUGAAACGGAGUCUCACUCUGUAGCCCAGGCUGGGGUGCAGUGGCGCGAUCUCAGUUCACUGCAACCUCCGCCUCCCGGGUCCUGGUUCAAGCAGUUCUCCUGCCUCAGCCUCCAGAGUAACUGGGAUUAGAGGUGCCUGCCAACAUGCCCAGCUAAUUUUUGUAUUUUUAGUAGAGACGGGGUUUACCAUGUUGGCCAGGCUGCUCUUGAACUCCUGACCUUGUAAUCUGCCCACCUCGGCCUCCCAAAGUGCUAGGAUUACAGGCAUGAGCCACCACACCCAGCCAACUUUUUAAAAUAUAUUCACAUUAACUGUCCUAGGAUACUUCUCUUGAGGCUUUGGGACACUUCUUCCUUGAAACUUGCAUAUCCAUUCCAGUUCUGUCACCAAAGAUUUUAAUCUUCAGAGCCCAACCUCCUCUCUCCCAGACAAAAAUUCUACAACAGGCUCAAGGGAUAUGCUUCGGUGGUCAAGGGAUUACACUUUGGUUUUCCUUCUGUUCACAGUGGUAUUUACAGGAGACCUUGUCAUUAGAGGAGGUACUGAACUAUCUUUAUGACUUUGGAUUUGAUCAUAGGUUUACAAAAUAGACAAAAUAAAAUAAUAGUACUAGACACUGUAAAUUAUCUUUAAUAGAGUCAUGACCUGGAGACUGAUGGAGAGAAAGAAACUUCCAUGGAAGAGAGUGAGCUAAAUCAUUUAGAACCAAACAAGGGUCACUGGUAAAACAUAGGGCAGCAUGUACACAGUGCAGAUCAGGUUUCUGUAUGGCCAGAGCCAACAGCAGUGGCUGGUGGGAGAGUCAGACAACUGGCCAAUGAAUUCAAGAUUAAAAAGCCACAGUCUGGAUUUUGUUGUGAUUGCCGGAGUGAUUGAAAUGCCCAUGUCCAUGGCAAGGAAAAUGCUUGGAGGCUGAUCUGUUGUGAUAGUGCCUUUCUUGUAGUGAGGACUAGAUUAAUAAUUUAUUCAGUUACACUUUUCUGGACCAUUGCCCCAGUCUUCUGAGGAGGUCUGAAGGGAUAGUAUCCACUUAGGAUGAAGGGACAGGAUAUUGCUCCUGGAAUGCUGUGAUUUGAUGAUAUUUGCACUAGAUUCUAAACUCUCCUUUAAACUGGAGCAACUGACUGAGAGAAAAACCAAGGACAACUCAAAGUUAAAAGAAACCAAAAGUAAUAUUUUCUGACGGAUACCAUUUCUUUUUUUCCUGGAAGAAAACUUCACACUGUUGGCUACUAAGCUCAACUCUUACCAGUUCUGUUGGUUUAUUUUUUGUUUCCAUAUGGAACCAUCUGUGUGAAUUAGUCGUCAGUUAGGGAUAGUUAAUGUAAAGACCCCUGCCACUGAAACUUUGCACACCUUCUCUGCUUUAUUGAAGGCAAGGGCCACUGGGCAGUGGUAGCGGGGGAGGGACCCUCCAGAGCCACCCAGCCCUCCAGGAGGCCAGUAAGCGUGGAUGUCAUGUCAGGAGCUGAGCUGACAUAUAUUUACUCGGAGGACAUUGGGGUCUAUAGCUAAUCCUAAAGAAUGCUCCACAAGAGAAGAAAACCAAUGUAUUGUAGAAAACAAAGGGAGAUGGUGCCCAAAGUCUGCCUGUUUCUCUUCUCUUUUCUUUCCAGACUCACCACCAUGUCCUCUCUUAGAGAAUUAUAUUUCAUCUCAUGUAUUAUAUGUUACCAGAAAAGUUAUUUGGUUCCUUGGUUUCUCUCUUUAUCAGUGGACUGGGAAUUCCUCCAAAUUAAAAAUGAAUACCAUUAGCAGCUCCCCUGUGUCCAGCCAAUUUCUCAAAUGCUAUCCACCUGGUCUUGCUGUCCACCUAACAUGACUUGGAAGCUUUGGCUGGCUCAACCACCUGUCCACUUUAUUUUGUUUCCAUUUCCAUUUGAACUUGAAGUGAGGCUAUGGAAAGGUGGAAAUCAUGGGAAAGGUUUGGAGGCUGCAAUUCUAGGGCAUAGCUUGUCACAGGAGUUUAUGUUAUCUAAAAUAUAUCUUUCUACACCCCUUGUCAUUUUAAUCUGUUGCUCUGAUUAUAAUUUCUUUAUAUUUGUGGUUAUUUUUAUAAGAAUAGAGUCCAUUUGCUAUGUCUAUUUGAGUACUUUUUUCUAUUGUCCCCACAUGGAUGCAGUACCAACCUGUUAAUGAAAUAUCUUUUUAUUAUAUUAUUAAUAUGUAAUUCUACUGUAGACCAAAAAAUAUAAAAACAAAUUUGUUCAUUUCAAAGAUAUAAAGAACUAGGGAGUAAAAGAUUAAAAGUUGAAGGAAAAGACAGAAGGCAGUGGUUAACUAUGUUGAGUUAGAAAUCUGAGAGUAGCCUUACCUGUUUUUUAACCAGUGCUUGCCAAUCAUACCAUCGUUGGGAUUAUGUAAUCUUGGCUCCUUCAUGCUUAUGUUCUCUAAUUCUUGUUUGUCUGUUUGUUUUCUUUGAUGUAAUUGAGGUUGCACAUCAUGCUAUUUUUGGCAAUGCCUGAUUCUAUUAUAUUGUACUUUUGUCAGUCAUUUCCAUUAGAAAGAUGGGGGAAACGUUUAUUUCUUCUUUUAAUUUAAAAUUUGUUUGAUGCACUGGAAAUAAAAUUGGACACAUUUCACUGUUUAAAAAAAUCAGAAACAAAACAAAGCAAAAACCACAAGGAAAAAAAACUCAGCAAAUAAACAACAGGAAAAAAAGCUAUGAAAAAAAUUUAUUUGUACUGAAUACACAUACAAACUACAUCCCACAUGAAAGAUUAAUAUCAUCAAAUAAGAAAAAGACAUAGUUUAAACUACAAUGCUGAAAAUAUACAAGGAACCUGGUAGUUCAAUGGGGAUAGAGAAAACAGAACAUUCUUCUGACAUCAGAGAUCUUGUUAUUACUGCAGUUAUUGUCCAGAUCAGUUAAAUGUGGAAGAAAGUAUGGAGGAAGUAACCCCAGCCUUCCUCAUACCACUGGAUUUCCACAUUACCUUUUAACCUAUGCUUGAGCUCCGUUUUGAGAAAAAAUAUUUAAAAACAAAUUUGCUAUGUAACAAAUUUGUGUGUGUACAUAUAUAUCCACAUAUGUGUAUAUAUAUGUAUAUAUAUAUGGUUGAGAAAGUGGUUUGUCAAGAUGUAUGUGCACAGUACACACAUAGACACACUUCAGUCCUCUGACUUCCCAUGUGCUACCUCAUGUGUUUCUCUUCUCUUGAGGAUUUACAAUGGAUAGUCGUACAACCUGGGGACUGUCAGUGACUCAUUGGUAUCAGCAUAUGCUAAAAGCUCUUGAAUCCAAUCUUAAAACCUGAUCUCUUUUCUUCAGCAUCCCCCAAUACCAGACAGGCCCAUUAACCCAUACAAAUGGACAGUAAAGGAAGGACAAAGAUAUUUUUCUUAGCCAACUGGCUCUAUCAUUGUUUAACGUUUGCUGGGUUUUUUUCUGGUUUUGUUUUGUUUUAGAGCAGGGGUGGGAGUGGAUGUAACUUCACAAUCCUAAUACAGUAAAUGUUUUGCAUCUUCCAUGUUUUAUGCAAAAACAAACAUUUAAAUCAAUAAAUAAUUGUGCCCUAGACUGAAAGUUAAUGUUUAGGAGAGGAAAAAAAUUGUUGGAAUUUUUUCUACAUUUUUUUGUGAAGAAUCUUUUUUGGAAAGGAAGGAUACAUAUUUUUGUUGUGUAAUAUUUUCUAUUUUUGAAUGCAUUUUAUUGGUACAAGACUGUUUUUUUGGUGAAGACAUUAUUUAAAAAAAAAAGAAAAAAACUAAUCGAAAAGUUUGCCCUUAAGGAUAUGCUGCAGUUUUGAGGUUUAAAACAAAAUAACUGAUUCAAGAUGCGUGUUAAAAGUUGGGAUUAUAUUGUUGUUUUUUGUCAUUGUUACAAGAAGAAGUUUGUACCCACUGCUGUUUAUUUUGUUUCAGAUGAGUAAGUAAAGGGAUUGUUCUUGUUUUAUUCUUUUUUUAGAGAAAAAAGCUAUUUAUGAAAUGUCAAAAACACUGGACUGUGAGUUUAAGUGUGGAAGCAUUUUACCACCCUGUGUCUUCAACCAAUUAUGGGAAAACCCUUUUCUCUUCCCCCCACUCCCCGCCUUAGCCUUGCCAAAUGAGAAAAAUAUAACAGCUGUCAGAUGAUCGAAGCCACCGAAGCCCUGCUUUAAUUUUAUGGUUUGAAAAAGUUGGAAAACCAAAGUUAAAUUUAUUUCUGAAAUCCUGCUGUGCGUAGCCCUUUUUUGUAUGACACAGCCGGGCUCUGCCUCUCUAUCUCAGAUCAUUGCCUUCUUAGGGGCUGGGGGCCAACCUGAUGCAAAGAGACGUAUAAAGGUGGUGAGCCUGAGAGUUGAGGUCUCAUGAAGUAAAAUGUGAGUGGGACUUCACCCUCUCAGAGGGCAACCACGCUUUCCCAUUCUGAAAUGAGGCUGCCAAGAGAGCACACUGCUAACACUGCCUGAGGAGAGCGCCUCCCGUCUCCUUCACCCUCUGCUUCUGAGACCCUCCUGUUACUGUUAUCAUCAUUCUUUAGCAUGGCUCUGCCUUUCUCAGCAGCCCACAUUCCAUGGAUGGGAGCGGGAGGCAGGGGCCCAAAGGAGGCAAAUGGCUGUGGGUGGUGUGAAGACCCCCCCAGCCCUCAGGAAGGUGGGGCAAGGGACCACUGAGCACAAGGGAUCUUGCCCGCCUCCUCUUUGACUCUGUGGAUUAUCCAUCCGUCUGCUCACUGUGAAGAUGGAGAGGCAGUGCCCUAAGGCUGUUCAAUAGCUUUUCCAUAUUUUUUCAACAUUGAAAAAAUAAUUUUUAAAAACUGUGAUAUUUUUUUAAAAAUCAUUUGGCUGGAGGGAAGGGAAAAGGGAAACACCAAAAGCUGUAACAUGAUUAACUGGAGAUAUUUAACUGGGGCACUUUCUAGACCAAGACAAACAAAUUCCUUUCUGGACUCUAAAGCAGCUGAAUCUUGAGACUGUCAAUGACAGAAAGCUGAAGAGAGGCCUCUAUUUCUUCCUUUCUCCUUUCUUCUAUCUAAAAACUUUCUCUCUUUCCCCUUUUCCAACUUCCCUUGGACUACUGCCCCAAUGGCCCCUUGAACUCCCAUUUCAUGUAUGCAAGCACACAGACACACAGACACACACACACACACACACACACACACACACACACAAACUAACUUGCAAAAUACCAUUUUUCUUAAGGAUUGUGGGACCGAAUAAUAUCACGUGCCUUCAUCUUUUCCUUUUAUAGUUAGAUUAACCUCUUCCUUUUUACAUUUUUUUUUAAAAGAAAGGGGAGGUGGAUGUGUUAAUGGAAGAUUUGGGCAUCGUUUGAGAAGUAACUUUUGUUUAGCACAUUCCCCCUAAACAUUAAACACAAACAUUUCAACCCCUGCAUGGCACUCUUUGGACAUUUAAAGCAUUGAGUAACCAGGAUACAUGACAGCCUAAAUCCAUUUGAUUUCAGAGCAUUUCCUGAACAUUCUAUUUCAUAGACUUCUUUGAUUUUUAUCAAAAAUGAGGUGAGCAACGGCAAGCAGCCUUGUUCUCCCGAUUUGGUGCUUUUGUUUGUGGUGUGGGGUGGGCAUGGGGGGUUGGGGGGGUGUGGGUGUGUUUAGAAAAAAGAUGCAUUCCUAAAGAGCUCUGGUGCUGAAGGGCCUCGAGUUCCUUUCAGAGACUGUAUUUGACACACUUUAGGUACACACAAACGAAUGGAUCACAUGCAAUAUUUUAAUGGAGCAAUGGGAGAGGCUCUUUGAAAUGGGGUUUGCAUCUUUUUGUAACAUUUUGAUUUCUCUGGUGCCUUAUUCCUACUUGAUGCUGGCACUCACAUACCCACAGGAAGCUGACACAGAAGUCAGCCUUAGGUGUGGGGACAUAUGGGUGAUGUCUGAGCAUGCAGGGGCCAUGGAGAGGUUGGUGUCACUUGCUGGAGAAGGGACUAGAUGGCAUCUCUUAGCCAAGGCCAAGCAGGGACUGCACAAAUCCAUUAUAGUCAAAGUUAGCAAUUUUGAUACGUAAACACAAUACUUCAUUCUUCCUCGUCUGUGCUUUCCUUCCUUCCUUCUUCCUUUUCUAUCUCCACCUUCUCAUAAAGGUGCUGCUGCUGCUGCUGCUAAGGUGCCCAGAGUCCAGAAUGCCCAUAAAUCACUCAGGCACAAGCCUGGCACUGCCACAUCAGCCUCUGGCUUGACCAAACCCAGGUUUCUCUUUAUUGGGGCUGAGAACUGUCAGAUUUUUCUCAUCAAAAAUGUUUUCCAAGGAAUCAGUGGAUUACAGUUUUUCUGCAUUGAAAAUGCACUUUAAAAAAUAAAUUCAAGCUCCAGACUGUUUAAAAUAUACAGAGGGAGCAGGGGAAAGAUAAGCACGUGCUAGUGUCUGAACCCAGUUCAGUUUAUCUCCAGUUGAAACAAUAUACACUAUAUGAUGUAUAAAUGUAUACACGCUUCCUAUAUGUAUCCACAUAUAUAUAGUGUAUAUAUUAUACAUGUAUCGGUGUGUAUAUGUGCAUGUAUAUCCACAUGCACAUAACAAAAUCAGAUGCUCAUUACAAAUCCAGAUGCUCAUUACAAAACCAGAUGCUACACAAACAGCAGCAGAGGAAACAAGGUUGGACUCUUGCAACAGAUCACAAAAAAUAAAAACAGCAACUUGCAGUGACUUAGGUCAUUUCUGUAUGUUCACAAGAAAUGGACUGUAACAAGGAAAAAAAGGAACGGAGUUAGUGAAGGAGGAAAAAUGGGCAAAACCAUCUUGAUCCGAUGCGAACGCAGUAAUGUUCUAUACCAUUUCAUCAGUUAUUUCUUUUAGUCAUGUUGAUUUGAUUUAUUUUUGACUAUUAAAAACAUUUUUAAACUCAAAUGACCCACAACAAACUGAACAAAACUACUACAGUGAAAGCCCUUUUCAGUGAAAGAUGUUAGAAACCUCAAAACCCUUGGCCUGACUCAGAACUACCAUGUGAAAAUCAGUACUCUCUUAAUGUUUCAAAUGAAAACUGAAAAAAAAAAAAAACUUUUUUGAAGCACCUUAACGUGGCCAUCCAUUUGAGAAGUGGAUGCCACUUUUUUCUUUGAGCACCUUAUUGAUGUGUUUUGCUAUCUGCUGUCUUUCUGUUACCUGUUGGCUGAAUGGCUAGCUGUUAACAUACACAUGUGCACAGAACAGAUAUCUGGGCAUGUAUGUUCUCAAUGAAGUUUACUGUGGUGACUGCUGAAAGGUGAAUCCAUUUCCUGAUUUUCCCACCGCAGUGUUGUGAUAAGAUUCGAAGAAACUCUUUUCCCUGCACACAUAUGUUUCUUAUCACAUUUUAUCUUAGUCUGGAAAGGAAUAUGGUCCCUUUUUUGCAAUUGCUAAUUUGUAUACACACACACACACACACACACACACACACACAUUAUAUCUAGACCUAAAAUACACACACACACGCACCUGCGCACACACACACAAUUAUAUCCAUUCAUUCGUUCAAAUGGUAUUUCCAGUGUCUGUGUAUCACUGUUUAUGCAGUUUCCAUUUCCCAGUGAAUUUUGAACGGAGGGCAACUUUUCUAACCAGAUUGUCUUUUCAGACCAAAGACCUGGGAAUUGAGGAAGAGUUUGGAAAGAAGGAGAGGCAAGGAAAGAGAGCUUUACAUUGAAAGAUUAAUUUCCCAAGAGGAAUCUGGGCUGAAUGACUACAGUGCUAUACCCUCCAAUCUUUGCAGGUGGGCGUGGAACACUGCUUAUACCACUCUGUGCAUGGUAAAAAUUUGUAUAUCCACAAAUACACACAUCCAUCCAUCAAUAUAUACAUGGUUUGGGAUGAGCAGGUCAAUCGUUUUGAGAGGAAGUUUGUUCCUUUUUUUUUCUCAUUAUACUCUUAAAUUGUCAGUUAUCAAACAAACAAACAGAAAAAAUGUUUGGAAAAACCUUGCAUACGCCUUUUCUAUCAAGUGCUUUAAAAUAUAGACUAAAUACACACAUCCUGCCAGUUUUUUCUUACAGUGACAGUAUCCUUACCUGCCAUUUAAUAUUAGCCUCGUAUUUUUCUCACGUAUAUUUACCUGUGACUUGUAUUUGUUAUUUAAACAGGAAAAAAACAUUCAAAAAAAGAAAAAUUAACUGUAGCGCUUCAUUAUACUAUUAUAUUAUUAUUAUUGUGACAUUUUGGAAUACUGUGAAGUUUUAUCUCUUGCAUAUACUUUAUACGGAAGUAUUACGCCUUAAAAAUACGAAAAUAAAUUUUACAAGGUUUCUGUUUUGUGUGGAAGAGUAAUUGAUGUUGCUAAGAAUGAUGUUUGUUUUUUGGGGUUUUUGUUGUUUUUUUUUAAAUGUUACCAGCACUUUUUUUGUAAGUUUCACUUUCUGAGGUAUUGUACAAGUUCACACUGUUUGUGAAGUUUGAAUAUGAAGGAAUAAUUAAAAAAAAAAAACUCUUCCCUUGGUUUCCUAUUGUGUCUUCUUUAUACUGUAGUUUCUGUUUCAGGCAGUUCUCCACAUUAUUUUGCACAUUGUAUUCUAGGUCUAAUCUGAGAUUAUUUAUCCAAACUGAGGACUCUACUUGGAAGGCCACAAAAGUUCUGAUUAUAUUAGUCCCCUCAAUACAAGAAGUAGAAACUACAGAUAGGAUUGGUGAUGUCGAAGUCACUUUGAGGAAAUAUAAAACAAAUUGGUGUAUUAUCCUAUGCAUGUUCAAACUUCAAAAAAUGACAAGGCUCACUUACUGCUCUACAGAUUGAUUCACAUGUUUUUCUUUUCCACAUGCUAAUCACUGUCUGCCUAUUGUGGAAAUAAUCAAUUCCAUAUGAUGACACUAUGCCCACCUAUUAUUGUGUCAGUCCAUCUCCGUUAUCCGUGAAUCUAUCACUGAGCCUCCUUUUUAACUCUAGGGUUUCUCAGCUCUAUAUGCAAAAAAAAGGAAAGUUCAUGGCACAAAACCUGCCCCUAUUUGAUGACUUUGGAGACUCAUACAGGACUCAUGUUGAGUCCAAAGAUCUUUUCUUGCAUGUGACCCUGCCCAUAAGAGCUCUCUGAUCUGAUCAUUCUUACAGAAAUUGCUAAUAUGGUGAAGAAAACAUAUCUUGUUUGUCUUUGGAAAAGUCAACACAAAUUAAAUUCACAAUGUCUUCUGUAGUUCAGUCAAUACUGUGCAAUGUAUGAAUAAAAGAAAGGAAAUUAUUUCAGCCAUGAGAAGGCUUAAAAUCUAACAACUGGACAUAAAAAGGGGUUUGUAUAAAAAAUCAAGAGCUAGAUUGUACCAUUCAGACUCCUAAUGCCAAGGGACUUUCUAAACUAACGACGUUAAUAAUGGCUAGAGUGAGUCAAGAAAGGGUCCAAAGAAUAAGCAGUCUAGUUCGGGGAUUCCUAAGAGCUUUGAGUUGGAGAAGCUGAGUGUGGACAGACAUUUCCACCAGUGUGAGGAACACAAAAAUAUCCAGGCCUGAGCUCAGAAUGGGAAAAGUCAUCAAGAGACCUCUAGACUGAGGUGAUGUCAAUAAAUUGCUGAGAUUUCAUGAUUAUCUCUAUGAAUUUAAAUAUUCACUUCUUGCAACUCAAUCACUGAACUUCUAAGUCAACCUUAUUGAUACUCUAGAAGUAUAAAGAGAAAGAAAAUAUUUUCAUGAUGCAUAAUUUGUCCCUAUAUGAUUUCUGUGAACCAACAUCUUAACGAUGACAGCCAGCUUCACCCAGAGUCUUGGAUCUCUCUUUGCACCAUCUACACACUUUUGAGUUUUCUUCUGUAGCUGUUAAAAACAUUGUGGUGUAUUUUACAUACAGGCUGUAAUAAUUAUAAAUGACACAUACACUGCUCAUGUGGCACUUCACAGUUUACAAAGUUUCUCCUUAAUAUCCUUCAUCCAUCUUCACAGUCACACUGUGAACAUUGUAAUGUAGCUGUGAGUGCACUAAUUUAUAAAAACAGACGUUCAGAAAUACGUGUUCUUCCAAUACAAAACAACUUAAAGUAGUGGCUGAGGUCAAGUUUUCUGAAAUUCAAUAAUAUUUAUACCAUACCAGUAUUCUCAAACUUGAGUAAUGUGUGCACCCAUAUGAAGGGGAAAAAAAAAUACUUCCACAGACCACACCAAUGGAAGAGAGUCUGUGAUUAUUCUUAUUGUAAUACCUAGUAAUAAAUAAUAUGCAUAAUUAUUUAAAUAUUCUUAAACAUAACAAGUGGACUGAAUAUGCUUAUACCUCUUGUAGAAUUAUAAAACGAAAAGUUACAAAUUGAAUACAAGUAAAACUAUAAAAUUAAUAAUGUCUACAUUAACAAUGAAUGCAUAGAAUGAUGCUUUGCUGAAUUAAGUCGUGGCUUACAAAGUUAAGUAUACUGCACACAUCCUUCUAAAUACAGCAUCCUACACUACCGUGUGCAAAAUAAAGACGAUUCUCACUUCACUUUCCUAUUAUUUCAACUACUGCAAAGUUUUCCACUGCUCUCCACCCAUCUGGGAGUAAAUGAAUCAUUUAUAAAUUAAGCUUCCGUGCCUUUAAAUCAACUUGAUUAUAAACACAAACACAGAGGCUAAAACCAAUGACAAUACUCUGUUAUAAGAAGGUUACCGAUAUCCAGGUAUCUCUGACUUCUUUAAAGAUUAUCAUUUCAUUUAAAACGCACAAUGUUUAAAUGCUUACAGAAAAGUUGUGGACCCCAAAGGUAUAUCUACAACUCUUAGCUUUCCUUAAAUCCCAUUUUUUAAGAACAUUGGUAGAUAACCUCAGUUGUUCCCAACCAGUUUUGUUGCCUCCAUGAAAACUUCUGUGGCAUUGUAAGCAUUACCUGGUGCACAUGCUCAUGGGGCAGAACCCAAUAAUAAUAUUAACCCAGCAUCUUGCAGCUGACAAAGCAGUCAGCCACAUUCCUACCUCAUCUUAAGAACCUUAGAAAGAGUAAUAUUGCCAUUUUACAAAUGCAGAACUAUUUAUGAGUCUCUGAUAGGUUAAGUGGCUUAUCCAAAGUCAUGAAACUAAUUGCAGAGCUCAGCAUUUGGAGCAACUUCCUCAGUUCCCAGUCCCCACACUGCAAAAUUAUUUCUUUUUGAUCUCUGUGAAGUCCAUCAGCGUUUUAGUCCCAGAGAAGGUGCUCUUCACAGCCUACAUGAAGUCAGAAUGAAUAUAGUCCAAGGUAAGUCCUGUGAUAAACAUCUAUUCCUGCCUAACCCUGAUGAGUUGCAAACUUCUUGACAGUUUUGGCCCUAUUUAUGUGAACUGGACCACUUAGCUACCUCAGAUACUUUUUGGAAAAAAAAAAACUAAAAUAAAUAAAUGUACAGUCUGCUUUGACCUCGUGGUUUGUCUUGAUCAAAGGAUGGAUACAGAAGAAUAGAGGAGAACCUGCCAGUUCCUUCCUGGUGGUAACCAUUUCAAACCUGUAACAACUGGAGAGCCAUCCAGUGUCCUAUAAGCACAGCUCUCUGUGUUUAUAUGCAGGCAGUUACUAGAAUUGUGAUGUCUAAUAUACUAGCCACCAGUCACAUUCUGCUAUUUACAUUUAAAUGUCCUAAUUAAAAUAAAAUUUAAAAUCUAGUUUCUUUGUCAUAUUAGCCAAAUUUCAAGUGCUCAGCAGCCACAUGCAGCCAGCAGCUACCGUACUGGAUGGGACAGGCAGAGCAUUUCCAUAAUGGCAGAAAGUUCUAUUGGAUAGCAUUGUCCUACACUAUCUUAUGCAAAUAAAUUCCCUCAAGCCUUGAGUAUAUCAUUCUGACUUCCAGAAAGCUCAGGUUCUUGCCACACAAAAAGCUCCCCUGGACCUCUUGACAGGUAUGACUUGACGUGGGUUUGGGAAACUACCAGUUACAGCCAAGAAGCAGCACCUGAAAGAAUCAGAAGGCUAAACAAAACUCAUGCUUCACAGCUGACAGCCAGGCUACCCAUUGCCCCCCUCUCUGUGGGGUGGGGUGCGCCUGCCAGAAUGCUGUCAUUGGUGGACAGCACACCCAGCCUCUGACUGUCUGGCUCAGCACUGAUGGCAUCCGAAUGAACCUGAGUGUACAAUGAGUUACACUGAGUGUACAGCUGAGCCCACUUCAUUUCUGGGGCUCACAGGGCAAGAAGGGAAAGGGCAUGAAAUAAAAUUGCCUAGUGAGGUCCUGUUCAGUCAUGAAGAACAUCUGUCUCAAAGCUCCAUGCCUCAAAGUUUCUCACAUUUGUUUAGUAUAAUUAUUGGGAUUAUACAUCAGACUUGUAUGCCCAGGCUCAGAAUGUAGGCAGGGAAUCAGUAAUGUAUUCUUCCUUGAAUGCUCAUUCAUAGAUUUUUCUAUUGCUCCUCCUGUUAAGGAAUCCACAAGGGGACCCAGAAAAGCCUGGCAUUGCUUCCUGUCAGCACUGCGUGUUACCCCACCUCAAUUUUUCUGUGCUUCCCUACAUAUAUCCAAAAAGACACCAUUUGUGCUAAUUUUGCAAGAAAGACGCUGUAAACUGUCACCGCAAACAACAACAUUUUUAUAUGCAUCUAUCUUUCUUCCAAAGGACUUGGAGCUCCAGACAGAUUUCAGUUCAUUCUUCCUAACUAUGUAACCCAUUUGGUAGAAAGGUGAGAAAAAUAAAAAUAAAAAUCCAAGGCGGAAUAGGAGUUGAAUUGUCUUGUUACUAAGACGAUUGUCAACCCCAGUCUAUGUCUUAGGAAUCAGGGCCUUUAUUCUUAGGAAGCAAUGCUUUAUUUUAACCACGGGCAAAAUCCAGCCCUGCUUCACAUUCUGUCAUGGUUCCUGGGCCCAUGAAAGAAAAUCAGUCACCAGUAAAUCUAGCCUCCCUGUUGAUUCCUCUGAGAGAGACGGUGGAAGGAUAAAAAAGUCUAAGAUGGGGCCGGGAGCAGUGGCUCACGCCUGUAAUCCCAGCACUUUGGGAGGCCGAGGCAGGUGGAUCACUAGGUCAAGAGAUCAAGACCAUCCUGGUCAACAUGGUGAAACCUCGUCUCUACUAAAAAUACAAAAAAUUAGCUGGGCACGGUGGCGCAUGCCUGUAAUCCCAGCUACUCAGGAGGCUGAGGCAGGAGAAUUGCCUGAACCCAGGAGGCGGAGGUUGUGGUGAGCCGAGAUCGCGCCAUUGCACUCCAGCCUGGGUAACAAGAGCGAAACUCCGUCUCAAAAAAAAAAAGCAGUCAGUUACCCCAACCCCAGCACAAAGAGGUCAGGGAGUAAAUAAAAGGGUUCAAAGAAGUUAGUUGAAGGGUGUUUAUUUUUUAAACCCUCUAUCACCUCCAGGCCCCCCUUUUCCCUUAGGAAGAGCCCCUAUUUUAAAAAUCCGCAUUUUCCUUUUAGUGGGAAACGUUCUUUUUUCAAAGGCUCAACAGUGUAUUGAUGCAGAAAAGGUAGAUCAAGGCCCAAAUGCUAAGACUUGGCUCCCUCCGUGGGCACAUGCGUUUCCUGGGGCUUCCCCAGCGCACAUGGGCGGAAGAGCCUACAGAGCACUGUGUCAGGCCGGCUAAGGGAGCCCAACAGGUGCAGCUUCUGCCUGGACACAGCUUCCUGGGGAUGAGGGAGCACUGAGACUUCGUUCCUCCUGUCCAGCUGAUAACCUCUGGAGGCCGCUUUCCACAGAAUGGGUUCUGAGAGAUUUCUUCUAAAAACAAACAAACUACAAAGUGAGUAUGUGGGGAUGUUAUUCAAAUGUUACUCCCCAGUAUGACACAUAUUGAGAGUUAUCAUGAUCUCUCUCUUCCUUUUUACCCACAUACAUACGGACAAACUUGUUCUUACCAACACCAAUUCCUUAGCCCUUAAUUUCUCAACCGUAAUACAGCUAGAUUUCAAUUCUAACUGCUCCAUGGAAACUACACUUGCUACAUACACCACAUGCCACACACCUCGUUACUUCCUGUUCACCAAGCUUAGUGGGGCAGCUUUCCAUUUUCUAUUUUCUUUUACUCUUUACUGUACUUGACUCUGUUGACCUCUUCCUUUCUGAAAUGCUCUCUUUCCCUGGUUCCUGUGGCAUCACUCUCUCCUGAUUCUCUUCUCCUUUGAACACCACUAUCAUCUUCAGCCAAGCCUGCCCCUUCUCUCUUUGCACAAAAGCUCCCUAAACCAUGGGGUUCCCCACGGUUCUGCCCUCUGCUUUCUCUCACAGUAAACAUGCUCUCUGGUUUCUUCAUGAGCAUCUACCUUCUUAUAUCUACAACCACCGUCUGUCCUCUGAAGAUGCCCAAAUCUCUAUCCAAACUAGCCCAGUCUUCUGCCCUGAGCUGCAGACCCAGGUAUCCCCCUGUUCACUGGACAUCAUCACCUGACAACCCACAGCAAGCUCAGACUCAAAUUAUCUCAAAAGAAACCAUCACAUUCCCUCCCCAACAAACCACACCUGCCCUUAUAUUCACUGCCCUGUUUUAUGGCACCAGCUGAUCAGAAAUCUAGAGGCUGAUGUUCAACUCAAAUUAUCUGUAAAACCUCAUCCAAUUUUAAUCCUAGGCGGUUCUGAAAUCUAAUCCCUCUUUUCCAUCUCUAUAUCCUUGUCUUGUCUCUCAGCUGGGCUUCAUCCUCACUGUCUCUGGACCCCUCUUACUUCUAGCCCAACUCCACAUGGUCACCAGCAGAGUGAUUUUCAAAAGUGAAAGUUGGGUCAGUCCAUACUUCUGCCUAAAACUCUUUAAUGGCUCCCACUGUGUAUAGGAGGGUGCUUAACCUGAGAUGCACAGGUGGAUUUCAGGGGAUUUGUAAAUUGCAUAGAAAAUGUUGCCUAGAGGGACAUUCUUCUAGGAAGAAAAUCCGUAAUUUCACUACAUUUCCCACAAGAAACUGUGAUGAUCCCCAAAACAUCCCUUGUGAUGGUCCCACUCACCUUUCCAGUUUACAUGCCGGGAAAAUGACUUAUUAUUUCACUGAAGUUUUCUCAUGACCUUAUGAAGGUAAUGCCAUCAUAAUCAGCAUUUUACAGAAAAGGAAACUAAGGGUUAGCAAAGUUAGGUGGUGUAGCUACUCAAGUGGUGGGGCUGGGACCCAAACCUACCACUGUCUAAUUCCAAAGACCAUGCUCUUAAAUAAUGCAAUCUCUGCAUUAUUUCUUCCAUUUCUAUGCUCUCAAGGUCUGUAGUGAAUGCUGUUGGUACCUGUCAUAGCUAAUUUUAGGUAUCAGCUUAACUGGAUUGAGGGACCUGAGAGAGCUGGUAAAGCCAUUUCUUGUGUGUCUGGGAGGGUGUUUCCAAAGGAGAUUGGCGUCUCAGUCUGAGUGAAGUGAGUUGGACAACUCCACCCUAAAUGUAGCCAGGCACCAUCCAGUCACCUGGGAGCUUGCCUUUCCCAAAACAAAACAGGUGUAAAAUUGGCCUUUCACUCUUUGGAAUUGGGAUGCAUUCUUCUCCUCCUGUCCUUGGACGUCAGGACCCCAGGCUCCAUGACUUUGGGACUCCCGGAUUUACAACAGUGCCCCCCACCCUGAGUUUUCAGGCCUUUAGCUUUGGACUGAGGAUUGUACCAACAGCCUCGCUGGUUCUGAGGCUGUUGGACUUGAACGUAGACAUGUUACCAGCAUUCCAAGGUCUCCAGCUUGCUAACAGCCUGGGGUGAGACUCCUCAGCCUUUACAGUCACAUGAACCAAUUCCCCUAAUAAAUUCCCGCAUAGCUAUCUAUCCAUCCAGCCAUCUAUCUCUCCUAUGGCUUCUAUCUCUCUGGAGACCCCUAACUAAUAUAGUUUCUUCUCAGAUCCCUCUACCUGACCAGCACUCCCAUUUUCCAGAAGCUGGUAGUAUAGGCUGUGAGCUCAUACCAGCCCCUUCUCUGGAGAAUUGCUCUUGGGCCUUCCCUGGUGAGUAGCCAGAAAUAAUACUGACAUAGGUGGAUUUCCAAAAGGCCAUUUCCCUGCCUGAAGGUUCAACCAACACUUUGUACAAUUCUUGCUUCAGCCAAGUCUCCAGCUGAGACCACAUCCUUGCUGAGCUUUCUUCCAUUGGUCCUCCCAAUACUGCUUCUUUCACUACCUUUCAUCUGAGAGCCGUCCCAAUACAAGUCACUCUCACCAGAAUUUGCAUGUCAGGCUCUAUUUCCAGGGAGCUGAUCUAAAACAGUUGCUACUGGGAAGACUCCUAGAAGGCAGCCUGUAAGAACAGGAUUGGGGAAUGGGAUCACUAACUUGCUAGAUGGCAACACAAACCCCAUGGCUGGUGGUGAAAUGAGAUGGGACAUAGAUGGAAGAGAACUAGGAGCUGGUGCAAUGACUCUAACAUUUGAGAUGUAUAGGGUAAACAGCAACUGGUAGAACUCUGGAAUCGGGCAAAUAAUAUAGAGUAAAUAGUAACUAUUAGGACUCAAAAGUGACUUUUGCUAAAUUGUACCAAUGGACUAAAGAGAGAAAAUGACAGCCUCGGCUCUAUGAGUAACUCAAAGUAUGAGACUUACAGCUCCUCAUUGGCAGCAUUUAAGAGACACACAUCUCUCCAGCAGCUGAAGACCAGGUAUAUAAGCUAAUUGUAAAAGGGACAAGACUUUAAACAAGGCUGGAUUCUAAGCCUAUGUGAAUUUUCUAUGUCAAAGUUAGCAUCUUGAUAGUAGAGGAGGAGUCUCUGAAAACUUGGAACGAGGAUCUCUGGAAAGAUGCAUUUGAGAGCUGUGAACCACCUGCUUCUCUUAUACCAUCUGGAGUGGCAGAAGUGGCCCACUUCCCCUUGAUGGAAGAGAAUCCCUGCUGGGACCUGCCUUGCCUCCCCUAUUGGCCAUCAGAUCCAUAAUUAGGGUAAAAUCUCUAAUGGAGGAAGUGCUGGGUCUGCUAAGAGAAGAGAAAGCUUAUACACUAAAGGGCCUGGCUAACAUCUACUGGCAGGAACUGAGAGAAGAUGCCUAGGCAUGAAUUCUGAAGGUGAUGGAUUGUGGUGGGGGUUAGAACAUAAGACUGGAUGAGGGAUAAUCUGUCAGUAUUGGAACACACAAGAUUUAACACCCUCACAAGGGCUCCAGAAGACAGUUAUGAUAUACUGCUGUUAAUAGAGAUGACAACACUGCUUUGGCAAACUAUGGAAAAGGGAAACAUGAUGCUUGGAGAAGCAAGAAUGCUAGAAUAAACUUACUACAUCAGAAAUUGACAAACCGAGUUUCUUGAGUAAAAUAUGUCCCAUUGGUGGUUUGUGUACAGCCCAUGAACUAAAGAUGAAUUUUAUAUUUUAAGUGUUAAAAAAAAAACUUUUAAAAAGUAGUAUCUCAUGCACAGCAAAAGAAAUAAUCAGCAGAGUAAACAGACAACCCAUAGAGUGGGAGAAAAUAUUUGCAAACUAUGUAUUCAACAGAGGACUAAUAUCCAGAAUCUACAAGGAGCUCAAAUAAGUCAUCUAAAAACACAAACGAUCCCAUCAAAAAGGGGGCUAAGGACAAAAACAGACAAUUCUCAGAAGAGGAUAUACAAAUGGCCAACAAACAUUACUAAUCAUCAGGGAAAUGCAAAUCAAAACCAUAAUGCGAUACUACCUUACUCUUGCAAGAAUGCCUUAAUCAAAAAAAAAUCAAAAAAUCAUAGAUGUUGGCAUGGAUGUGCUAAAAGGGGAACACUUUCUUUUACACUGCUGGUGGGAAGGUAAACUAGUACAACCACUAUGGAAAACAGUGUGGAGAUCCCUUAAAGAACUAAAAGUAGAACUACCGUUUGAUCCAGUAAUCACACUACUGAGUAUCUACC